This is a long non-coding RNA of Oncorhynchus tshawytscha (Chinook salmon), 3979 nucleotides long. The record is from Ensembl. NCBI's taxonomy places the organism in Eukaryota, Metazoa, Chordata, Actinopteri, Salmoniformes, Salmonidae.
AAAGUAAGGGAAAGGGAUCACAUGCAGGAUCGACAGGUCAUUUUGUUCUUCCUCAGUCAGGAUUAGGUUAGUUCUCCCAAGUCAUUUUACUGGGGAUUUAUCCUUGAGGUGACAUUGGGGCCAAACACUUCCCUCCAGUCAAUGUCAUUGAUGUUGAUCAGCUUGUUGGAUGGAUGUAGAGACAAAGAGGAACGUGUGGGCUGAAGGUUGAUGCCAUGUAUUGGGAUUCCAUUACCAGACCAGUUAGAUACAGUAUGUUGUAGCUCAACUCAUUGACUGUGUCUGCUUUAUUCAGCGUGGCACUCCAUUCAUGUUAGCUAACAGCUCUGUUUACACAUCCAUCAGACAGCCAUGGGAUCAAUCACUGGGCUGGGAGCUAAUUGUUUCCUUCAGUGUAUUACAAUUGACCUGCUUGGUCACAUUGGUCCUGCAGUAUUGGCAUUGCUGAUGGUGGGUCAUGCUCUUCAGUCAUCAAGCAUUUAUGCUCCAAUAGGAUGUGUGUUGAGAGAAUUCACAGCAUUACAUGUGUGCAUCGAAUAUAGUGUGUGGUGUGCUGGCUGGCCUGCCGCGCGAGAGAGAGAGAGAGUGCCCCCUAGACACAACUACGACAAAACAACCAACAGAAACGGGUCACAACUCCUGCUUUUCUGUUGCACGCUGGAACUAUACAUAGUCAAUGGUAUACUUCGAGGGGACUCCAAUGGUAGGUACACCUAUAGCUCAUCUCUUGGCAGUUGUACUGUAGAUUACUUUAUCACUGAACUUAACCCACAGUCUGUAAGUGUACAUUUAGCAGUAGGAAGCCUGAACAGUAUAUUUGACCUAUCAGCUAACAUAUUAAGCAGAAAACCUAAGAAAAUGAACAGCGAUGAGAAGUGGUUUAGCUUACGCCUUAAACAAUACAGAAAUACACUAAGAAAAACAAGGAACAGCAUGCAAGAAAACAGCUCAAUGUGAUUGAUGAAUCCGUAGAAUCAAAUCACUUCUAUCCAGAAAUGGAGAUGUGUGGAUAAACCACUUCUCCAUUCUUUUGGCUGUAUAACAAAGAACCAAGAACAAAAACAUAUACAUGAUAAUGUACUUCACUUAGAAUCAACUAUCACCAGAAGCCAUUAGAUUCACUAAUUACAUUGUAAGAGCUACAGGACAAAGUACAAACCAUCCAACCCAAAAAGGCCUGUGGUGUUGAUGGUAUACUAAACAAAAUGAUACAGAUAGGCUAUUCUUAAAUCUUCAACAUUAUCCUCAGCUCUGACAUCUUCCCCAAUAUUUGGAACCAAGGUCUGGUCACCUCAAUCCACAAAGGUUUAGGCAAAUUGAACCUCAAUACAGCAGAAUCUGCGUCAACAGUAAUCUCUGGAAAGUCCUCUGCAGUAUCAUCAACAGCAGAGUCCAACAUUUAUUUCCUCAGUGAAAACAAUGUCCUGAGCAAAUGUCAAGUUGACUCCUUCCUAAAAUACUGUACAACAGACCCAUACACCAUGCACAACCUUAUUGACAAACAAACAAAACAAAACAAAAGCGAAGUCUUCUCAUGCUUUGUUGAUUUAAAAAAGGGCUUUACUCAAGUUAACAUUUUAGUCAUUUAGCAGACACUCUUAUCCAGAGUGACUUACAGUAAGUAGACUGCAAACAUUUUCAUACUUUUUUUCUUCUUCUUCGUCAUACUGGACCCCCUUGGGAAUUGAACCUACAACCCUGGUGUUGCAAGUGCCAUGCGCUACCAACUGAGACACAUGGGACCACUUUGGCAUUAGGGUCUGCUAAACAAAUGGUUGGAAAUUGGCAAUAAACAUACACUUUCCUCAGGGCCGUGGGGUGAGACAGGGAUGCAGCUUGAGCCCCACCAUCUUCAACAUACUGUAUAUCAAUUAAUUGGCGAGGGCACUAGAACAGUCUGCAGCACCCGGCUUCACCCUGCUGGACUUUGAACUCAAACGUCUACUGUUUGCAGAUGAUCUGGUUCUUCUGUCCCCAACCAAAGAGGACCUACAGCAGCACCUAGAUCUUCUGCACAGAUUCUGUCAGACCUGGAACCUGUCGGUGACUCUCAGUAAGCCAAAAAUAACGGUGUUCCAAAAAAGGUCCAGUUGCCAGGACAACGAAUACAAGAGAGAUCAUAUUUAGACACCGUUGCCCAAGAGCAUACCAAUAAUUAUACCUACCUCUGCCUAAACAGAGGAACAUAAAACUCAACAUCCCAAUUAGGAUCUGGCUCAGUCAGUUAUAGAACCCAUUGCCCUCUGUGAUUGUGAGGUCUGGGCUCCACUCACCAACUAAGAAUUCACUAAAUGGGACAAACACCCAAUUGAGACUCUGCAUGCAGAAUUCUGCAAAGACGCAAAACCCCAAAUGAUGCAAGCAGAGCAAAAUUAGGACUAUACCCGCUAGUUAUCAAAAUCCAGAAAAGAGCUGUUCAAUUUUACAACCACCUAAAAUGAAAAGAUGCCCACACAUUCCACCACAAAGCCCUCACCUACAGAGAUGAACCUAGAAAAGAGUCCCCUUCAGCCAGCUGGUUCUGGGGCUCUGUUUACAAACACAAACAGACCCAGGACAGCAACACAAUUAGAUCCAAACAAAUUAUGAGAAUGCAAAAAGAGAAUUAUUUGACACACUGUAAAGAAUCAACCAGAAAACAAAGCAAUUUGGAAUGCUAUCUGGAAUCAAUAGAUUAGAUACGUGCCCACUGUCCACAGUGGAAACUGAGCUGCACUUCCUAACCUCCUGCCAAAUGUAUGACCAUAUUAGAGACACAUAUUUCCCACAGAUCACAUAGACCCGGAAAGAAUUUGUAAACAAAUCAAACUGAUAAAUUCCCAUAUCUGUUAGUCAAAAUACCGUAAUGUGCCAUCACAGUAGCAAAAGUUGUGGCCCAUUGCCAUGAGAAAAAAGAGCGAGAGAGAUGCUAGGAGUAUAGUAAUAUCCAUGAGAAAAGAGAGAGAGAUGCUAGGAGUAUAGUAAUGUCCAUGAGAAAAGAGAGAGAGAUGCUAGGAGUAUAGUAACGUCCAUGAGAAAAGAGAGAGAGGGUGAGAUGCUAGGAGUAUAGUAACGUCCAUGAGAAAAGAGAGAGAGAGAUGCUAGGAGUAUAGUAAUGUCCAUGAGAAAAGAGAGAGAGAGAGAGAGAGAUGCUAGGAGUAUAGUAAUGUCCAUGAGAAAAGAGAGAGAGGGUGAGAUGCUAGGAGUAUAGUAAUGUCCAUGAGAAAAGAGAGAGAGGGUGAGAUGCUAGAAGUAUAGUAACGUCCAUGAGAAAAGAGAGAGAGAGAGAGAUGCUAGGAGUAUAGUAACAUCCAUGAGAAAAAAGAGAGAGAGAGAGAGAUGCUAGGAGUAUAGUAAUGUCCAUGAGAAAAGAGAGAGAGAGAGAGAUGCUAGGAGUAUAGUAACGUCCAUGAGAAAAGAGAGAGAGAGAUGCUAGGAGUAUAGUAACGUCCAUGAGAAAAGAGAGAGAGAGAUGCUAGGAGUAUAGUAACGUCCAUGAGAAAAAAGAGAGAGAGAUGCUAGGAGUAUAGUAACGUCCAUGAGAAAAGAGAGAGAGAGAGAUGCUAAGAGUAUAGUAACGUCCAUGAGAAAAAGAGAGAGAGAGAGAUGCUAGGAGUAUAGUAAUGUCCAUGAGAAAAAGAGAGAGAGAUGCUAGGAGUAUAGUAACAUCCAUGAGAAAAGAGAGAGAGAGAGAAAUGCUAGGAGUAUAGUAACGUCCAUGAGAAAAGAGAGAGAGAGAGAUGCUAGGAGUAUAGUAAUAUCCAUGAGAAAAGAGAGAGAGAGAGAGAUGCUAGGAGUAUAGUAACGUCCAUGAGAAAAGAGAGAGAGAGAGAGAUGCUAGGAGUAUAGUAAUGUCCAUGAGAAAAGAGAGAGAGAGAGAGAUGCUAGGAGUAUAGUAACAUCCAUGAGAAAAGAGAGAAAGAGAUGCUAGGAGUAUAGUAAUGUCCAUGAGAAAAGAGAGAGAGAGAUGCUAGGAGUUUAGUAACGUCCAUGAGAAAAA